Molecule: non-coding RNA, 536 nt
Organism: Heterocephalus glaber (naked mole-rat)
Lineage: Eukaryota; Metazoa; Chordata; Mammalia; Rodentia; Bathyergidae
Source: RefSeq, a predicted model, not a curated record
ACCCUGGAGAUUUGUCAAAGCCACUGAGGCAUCUUCAGAAUUACCCUGCCUGGGUCCCCAUCAGCAAAAACAACCGACGCAUUCUCCAGGCGAGGAUUUUAGACGCAGUCAUUGUUCCUAGAGCCGCCCCAGCAUCCACUCUAAGGCACCACAUCUGUUUCCAUUGUGUCCAACCACUGUGACAAUCUUUCAGUCCCUGCUACUCUCACUCAGGAGUUCUCAGCCCUGACUGUCUCCUAGCGGCGCCUGGGAAGUCUCAAAAGUGCACCAAGGCAAUAGGACCGAUGACACUCAAGUUGAUUUUCAGUUUCUUCUCCCAGCAGCCAGAUAGGAGAGUAUCCAUUUUCCCCACGUCUUUGUCAACAAUUGAUUUAUCAAACUUUUGAUGUUCACUCAUAAAGAGGUAAUAAACAAUAUCCCAUUAAUUUGCAUGGAAGUGAUUAUAUUAAUAGGGCUGUAAAACAUCUGAAUUGAAAGAGACCUCAGUGACUAGGCUGUCAAAACUGUUUCAAGAAGAAAGUUUUAUUGUAUAUAAA